This 69-nucleotide transfer RNA is filed under the name Schistocephalus solidus. It matches the Rfam family "tRNA". From Rfam's summary of the family: Transfer RNA (tRNA) molecules are approximately 80 nucleotides in length. Their secondary structure includes four short double-helical elements and three loops (D, anti-codon, and T loops). Lineage: Eukaryota; Metazoa; Platyhelminthes; Cestoda; Diphyllobothriidea; Diphyllobothriidae. The record is from Rfam by way of RNAcentral.
GAACCCGUGGCUCAAUGGUAGAGCGUUCGACUAAAAUUAUAAAGGUCGUGGGUUCGAAUCCCAGGUUUG